Molecule: long non-coding RNA, 1140 nt
Organism: Rosa chinensis
Lineage: Eukaryota; Viridiplantae; Streptophyta; Magnoliopsida; Rosales; Rosaceae
Exons: 3
Source: RefSeq, a predicted model, not a curated record
AUUACCUGUGAUGGUAUUAGGCCCUUUGUGAGCUUCGCCAGGGAAUAUGAUCUUCUGCCCGUUUUUAAUUCCUAUAUCCACGUGGACUUCCAAUAUUUUCUUCUCCAGCACAACCUUGUCACCCUUGCACUGCUGGCAGCGGUCCUCGGCACGAAUGGUCUGGCCAGUGCCCUUGCACUCAUAACAGUAGUACUGCGUUUGCUGCGUCAAAUUUUGGCUUAAAUGGCGUACAGUGACUUUAUAACCAUGCCCUUGGCAACCACGGCACGUCCUUGAAGCACCUGACUUUGACCCUUUGCCCUUGCACUUGGUGUAGAUCUUGUUGCGAGUGACAGCAAGCUUUCUGGUUGUGCCGGUCAGUGGCGGACGCACGUAGGGACGAGUGGGGGCAGCUGCCCCCAGUGAACUUUUAUUUUUGUUGAACCGGUCUCCGUUUUGCCCCCACAAUCAAUAUCCAAGAUUCCAAAUACUUGUUCUUCUCCUUCCUCCGAUCUAAUUCCAUCUGCAUGCUGGCUUUUCUGUCAUCCCUUGCUUAAGUGACCCCCUGAUUCGGAUUUUGUAUCCACUGAUCUGCACCUCCAUCUACUUCUCAUACCUUGAUUCCGGAUCGAUCAGGCUCCGAAGUACAAAGGUUGCUGGGGUGGGAAAGAGAAGAGGAGGGAUUCAAGAUUGUGGUGGACUUCGGGGGGAGGAUUUGGGUUUGUUUCUGGAGAGGUGGAUUCGAAAAUUUUGAUCGAGUUUGGGGGAUAGUUUUCAGCAGGAAAAGAGAUUAGCUACUACUUUGACAACUAUGAUGUUCCUCAGGGACAGUUGUUUGAAUUUCAAGUCCAUCUGCAUAGCAGCAGAGUAUUCAUGGGGGCUGUUUUUUUAUAUCUAUUUGAUGAUGCUAGUGAUACAUCAGAUGAUAGAUCGAUGGUCUAUCAUGAUAAGGUAGUACAUGCUCCUGGUUCGUCAUGUCAAAAGCAUGGGAAUGGUCCUCUGGUUGGGGUGAAAAGAUUUAUUUCUCUUGUUGGCGGGUGAUAUCUACAAUAUAGCAGUAUAUGUUUAGGUGCUUUAUUCACAAUUCAUGUACUAAAUGAAAAUCUAUCAAUCUAUUUGAUAUAAAAUAUAGCGAUUGAAGUUUUGUUUCAUUUAUACGAA